GACGAACGCUGGCGGCGUGCUUAACACAUGCAAGUCGAACGAAGAGCGAUGGAAGCUUGCUUCUAUCAAUCUUAGUGGCGAACGGGUGAGUAACGCGUAAUCAACCUGCCCUUCAGAGGGGGACAACAGUUGGAAACGACUGCUAAUACCGCAUACGAUCUAAUCUCGGCAUCGAGGAUAGAUGAAAGGUGGCCUCUACAUGUAAGCUAUCACUGAAGGAGGGGAUUGCGUCUGAUUAGCUAGUUGGAGGGGUAACGGCCCACCAAGGCGAUGAUCAGUAGCCGGUCUGAGAGGAUGAACGGCCACAUUGGGACUGAGACACGGCCCAGACUCCUACGGGAGGCAGCAGUGGGGAAUCUUCCGCAAUGGACGAAAGUCUGACGGAGCAACGCCGCGUGAGGGAUGACGGCCGUCGGGUUGUAAAGCUCUGUUAAUCGGGACGAAAGGCCUUCUUGCGAAUAGUGAGAAGGAUUGACGGUACCGGAAUAGAAAGCCACGGCUAACUACGUG
This 510-nucleotide ribosomal RNA is filed under the name uncultured bacterium. RNAcentral's name for it is "partial 16S ribosomal RNA". It matches the Rfam family "Bacterial small subunit ribosomal RNA", at positions 28 to 507 of the family's 1533-position model. The record is from RNAcentral.